UUGGCGGAUAGGAACCAGUUAGUGCCUGUGCGUUGAUUGGGCCGAAAACCGCCAAUAUCAUUUGUUCGCGAUUAAGGUCGUAUGUGCGUCUUUUUGAAGCAUGUAUAUCACCAUUGUGGACGACAGCU
Molecule: non-coding RNA, 128 nt
Organism: Haemonchus placei
Lineage: Eukaryota; Metazoa; Nematoda; Chromadorea; Rhabditida; Trichostrongylidae
Source: Rfam